This 466-nucleotide ribosomal RNA is filed under the name Staphylococcus aureus. Its description in RNAcentral is "partial 23S ribosomal RNA". It matches the Rfam family "Bacterial large subunit ribosomal RNA", at positions 194 to 658 of the family's 2925-position model. Lineage: Bacteria; Bacillati; Bacillota; Bacilli; Caryophanales; Staphylococcaceae. The record is from RNAcentral.
UGAAACAUCUUAGUACCCGGAGGAAGAGAAAGAAAAUUCGAUUCCCUUAGUAGCGGCGAGCGAAACGGGAAGAGCCCAAACCAACAAGCUUGCUUGUUGGGGUUGUAGGACACUCUAUACGGAGUUACAAAGGACGACAUUAGACGAAUCAUCUGGAAAGAUGAAUCAAAGAAGGUAAUAAUCCUGUAGUCGAAAAUGUUGUCUCUCUUGAGUGGAUCCUGAGUACGACGGAGCACGUGAAAUUCCGUCGGAAUCUGGGAGGACCAUCUCCUAAGGCUAAAUACUCUCUAGUGACCGAUAGUGAACCAGUACCGUGAGGGAAAGGUGAAAAGCACCCCGGAAGGGGAGUGAAAUAGAACCUGAAACCGUGUGCUUACAAGUAGUCAGAGCCCGUUAAUGGGUGAUGGCGUGCCUUUUGUAGAAUGAACCGGCGAGUUACGAUUUGAUGCAAGGUUAAGCAGUAAAU